RNAcentral lists this long non-coding RNA (542 nucleotides) under Lupinus angustifolius (narrow-leaved blue lupine). RNAcentral's name for it is "long non-coding RNA (LANG_LNC003765)". The record is from RNAcentral. Lineage: Eukaryota; Viridiplantae; Streptophyta; Magnoliopsida; Fabales; Fabaceae.
UUACUGUAUGCAACUUUGUCUGCGUUAGUUUUGCUUGUUGGAUCUUAACUUGUAUUCAAUUUUGAAUUUUCUCUUUAUGCUGAUUGAGUUUGAGGGAAAAACAUCUUGCUAUUGAAAGAGGGUAGUUGAAAGUUUCAAUCUUUAACCUACGGGGUUUACUUGGUGUAAAUCAAGUAUAACAAUUUGGUGGUUUUGGUAUUGAACAAAUUCAUUGUUUACUUUGUUCUUUCUUUAUAGUGAUAAAAAUAAAUCCUGCAUAUUAGUUAACGAAAAUAAUGAAGUGUGCUUAUGUUUGAUGUAUUAUAUUCUCAUUUUUAACAUUAGAGACAUGCAUUAUCUUUGUGUAGCCACAAAUAUCUCUGUUUUGGAAUUAUGUACAGUAUUUGUAAUUAUAUCCAUCGCUGCAAAUCAGCAUCAACAAUUUUGACUUCUGCUCAGUCUCUGUAUCCAUUAUCCAUCAUUCCUCAUUCUCACUCUCAACCUACAUUUCACACUCCCAGAUCCCUCACUUACAGGUAACUAACUAACAAAACAAAUAAAAC